UGCCCAGACUCCUACGGGAGGCAGCAGUGGGGAAUAUUGCACAAUGGGGGAAACCCUGAUGCAGCGACGCCGCGUGAGUGAAGAAGUCUUUCGGUAUGUAAAGCUCUAUCAGCAGGGAAGAAAGAAAUGACGGUACCUGACUAAGAAGCCCCGGCUAACUACGUGCCAGCAGCCGCGGUAAUACGUAGGGGGCAAGCGUUAUCCGGAUUUACUGGGUGUAAAGGGAGCGUAGACGGCAUGGCAAGUCUGAAGUGAAAGCCCGGGGCUCAACACUGGAACUGCUUUGGAAACUGUGUGGCUAGAGUGCAGGAGAGGUAAGUGGAAUUCCUAGUGUAGCGGUGAAAUGCGUAGAUAUUAGGAGGAACACCAGUGGCGAAGGCGGCUUACUGGACUGUAACUGACGUUGAGGCUCGAAGGCGUGGGGAGCAAACAGGAUUAGAUACCCCUGUA
Molecule: ribosomal RNA, 450 nt
Filed under: uncultured bacterium
Lineage: Bacteria
Description: bacterial SSU rRNA
Rfam family: Bacterial small subunit ribosomal RNA
Source: RNAcentral